AAGUACAUGGAAGUUUGAGGCAAUAACAGGUCUGUGAUGCCCUUAUAUGUCCUGGGCUGCACGCGUGUUACACUGAUGCAUACAACAAGUGCCAAGUCAGUCAUGGCAAGGCAAUCUCUAAUAUGCAUCGUGAUGGGGAUUGAUCUUUGCAAUUAUAGAUCAUGAACGAGGAAUUCCUAGUAAGUGCAAGUCAUCAUCUUGCAUUGAUUAUGUGCCUGCCCUUUGUACACACCGCCCGUCGCUCCUACCGAUACCGGGUGGUUCGGUGAACCUUUUAGACCUCUUUAUGAGGAAAGAUAAGUAAAUCAUAUCAC
Molecule: ribosomal RNA, 314 nt
Filed under: uncultured rumen protozoa
Lineage: Eukaryota
Description: SSU rRNA
Rfam family: Eukaryotic small subunit ribosomal RNA
Source: RNAcentral